UUAGACCGCUAGGGCGCAUACGUCAUUUAUAUAUUUAUUUAAGUGACACUUGUGACUGUGAUUAAAAUAUAUUUUACAGGACCAUUAACUAUUAACAAGCACCCUUUGAACUUGACUGAAGAAGUGACCCGCCUACGAUAGGCGAAACAGUUUAUGCUUAUUUCCGUUCUACUGAAGUAUUACACUUCUUUUGCGUUUGAGCGAAACAUAUGCCAAAAAAUGCAACCCAGAUAGUCUUCGCACUAGGUUUGAGACACAACCUCUUCUCAUUUACACUCCUCAGAUCAGUCUCGAUAAUACAUUAAAUAUAAUUUCUACAGCCUUACAAGUUACAUUCAACGGACACGAGCGGACCUGACUUUAUUGCUUUAACGUAUAUGAAUAGGUAACUUGGGAUUCUGCGUUGAUUCGAGUAGAAGUUUUGUUUGGGAUUUUGCAGGAGCUAAUGUUAGCCUGUUAGCUUUUAAUCUGUUCAUAAACCUCCCGUUACAUCAACAUGAAGAUUACUGUGGAUUUUGAGGAAUGUCUCAAAGAUUCACCCAGAUUCAGGGCGACGAUCGAGGAGGUGGAGGGCGACGUCUGUGAACUGGAGAACAAACUUGACAAGCUGGUAAAACUAUGCAUUGGAAUGAUAGAUGCUGGAAAGGCAUACAACACGGCCAACAAACAGUUUGUGAACGGCAUUCGUGAGCUUGCACAGCAGUCUGCCACAGAUGAUGUCAUAGAGUGUAGUCUCACCAAGUUUGCUGAGAGUCUUCAUGAAAUGAUCAACUAUCACACAAUUUUAUUUGACCAAGCACAACGCGCAAUUAAAUCACAACUUCAGCUGUUUGUGCGAGAGGACCUUCGCAGGUUUAAAGAAGCUAAGAAACAGUUCGACAAAGUGAGCGAAGAGAAGGAGGCGGCCCUGUCCAAAAAUGCCCAGGCACCUCGGAACAAACAGCAUGAGGUCGAUGAGGCCACCAACAUCCUUAAUGCCACGCGCAAGUGUUUCCGCCACAUCGUCCUGGACUACGUGCUGCAGAUUAAUGUGCUCCAGUCCAAGAGACGUUCAGAAAUCCUCAAAUCGAUGCUGUCAUUCAUGUACGCCCACCUGACGUUUUUCCAUCAAGGCUAUGAUCUAUUCAGUGAACUACAACCUCUCAUGAAGCACCUCACAUUACAGCUGGAUCAGCUGAUGGUGGAUGCAGCCAAAGAAAGAAAGGACAUGGAGGUGAAACACUCCACUAUACAGAAGAAGCAGUUCUUAAAGGGGUCUGUCUUUCCUCUGCGCUCAUGUGAUGCUGCUCUGCAGGAAUUUUCAAAUGAUGACACUAAACUGGAGUAUAAUGUGGACGCAGAGAAUGGGAUCGUCAUGGAAGGAUAUUUGUUCAAGAGGGCCAGUAACGCCUUUAAAACAUGGAACAGGCGAUGGUUCUCCAUUCAAAACAAUCAGCUUGUAUACCAGAAGAAGUUUAAGGAUAAUCCAACAGUUGUAGUAGAAGACUUGCGACUAUGCACCGUCAAGCAUUGCGAAGACAUCGAACGCCGAUUCUGUUUCGAAGUUGUGUCUCCAACAAAGAGUUGUAUGAUGCAGGCAGACUCUGAGAAGCUCAGGCAGGCCUGGAUCAAAGCCGUCCAAACCAGCAUCGCAACAGCUUUCAGGGACAGAGCAGAAGACGUCGAGAAGAUGGAAAAAAAGUCGUCUGCAUCUACAGGGAGUCUGGACUCGGGUGUCGAUACGCGUGAGAAAAAUCUUAAAGGGGACAGCGAGCUGCAGAAGGUUAUGGCCAUCGCCGGCAAUAGCGUCUGCUGUGAUUGUGGGCAACCCGACCCGCGCUGGGCAAGCAUUAACCUGGGCAUCACUCUAUGCAUCCAGUGCUCUGGCAUACACAGGAGUCUUGGAGUUCACUUCUCUAAGGUCCGGUCUCUCACAUUGGACACAUGGGAACCUGAGUUGCUCAAGCUAAUGUGUGAGCUGGGAAAUGGUGCAAUUAAUCAGAUAUAUGAGGCACGUCGAGAAGAGCUUGGAGCCAGGAAACCACAACCAGGAGAUCCUCGGCAAGAGAUUGAGGCUUACAUCAAAGCCAAGUAUGUUGAGCGAAGAUUUGUCCAAAGACGGUCAGAGGAUGAGAUCAGACAGAAAGUUUUAUCACUGUGUAAUCAAGAUAAAUGUCUCAGCGGCGGCUCAGAAACUCAGUCUACACAAGGACAAACCACAAAAGCCCGUCCAGCUUCUGGUUCCUCAGCGUCCCAUGAGUCUCUCUUCUGUCUAGAUGAGCUUGAUUCUCUCUUCUCCUACUUUAACACCUCUGCCAAGCCACGUAGUUUGAAAAGUACAGACAGUGAAAUACAGAAUCUUGCAGAUGGAAACAGAGAAACUCUGAACGCAACCAACACACACAACACAGAAGUCACCGAGCCUCAGGCUGAAUGUGCUGCUGGAGAUCUGCCGGUGUACUCUGAGCCGAAUCACGUGACCCCGGGUCUACAGCUGUACUGGGCGUCAUUCUCCCGCAGUCUGCCUGAUAUGGCUGAAGCUCUCGCGCAUGGAGCCCAUGUUAACUGGAUCAACACGGACGAUGAUAACCGGACGCCCCUCAUCAUGGCCGUUCAUGGGGGAUCUCUGGUAACUUGUGAAUUCCUGCUUCAAAAUUCAGCCAGUGUGAAUCAGCAAGACAAUCUUGGCAGAGGGCCUUUACAUCAUGCUACUAUACUGGGCCAUACAGGGCAAGUGUGUUUAUUCCUAAAACGAGGAGCCAAUCAGAAUGCACCAGACGCUGAGAAUAAAACACCAUUGUCUAUUGCAGUGGAUGCUGCAAAUGCUGACAUUGUCACAUUGCUUCGAUUGGCCAAAAUGAAUGAAGAGAUGCGUGAAUCAGAGGGUCCAUACAGUCAGACAGGUCAUUAUAACUCUAACAGUCCUACUGAAAUACAGUACAGAAAGUGUAUGGAAGAGUUUAUUAACCUACAACUUGGAGACUCCUAACACAUCUACAGUACAGUACAGUAGGCCCAAAUCAUAAACGCCUGUAUUAUAUGCAAAAUAUCUGUGAAUGUACACAGCAGGUAUAUGGAGCUGGGCUUCAUUUGACCCCAGGAUGGGUUCAUGUAGUUUAGUAUUUUAAUAUAAAACAUCAAACAAACAGUAAGUCAAAAUCUGUUACCACUGGAACAAAUGCAAUAAAUAGCUUUGUGAAUUUGAUGUAAAAUAGUAUUAAACGCAUAUGCCUUAUGAAUACAUUAUUUACAGUGUUUAAAUGUAAUGCAAAUAUUGUCUGUGUCUAAUACUACGGUGUUAUCGAUUGAAUCUGCCACACCUCAUAAGUUAAGUUAGAAAUUAAAUUAAAUUAAAAUGACAAAGAGUUAAAUUUACUGAAUUAACAUUCUGGAAUUCUGGAUUUUUUCCAGCCUGGUCUAUAAAAUGAAAGUUAAUUGAUUGAAUAUAUGAUGCACUGAAUUUUUAUAGAUUGCAUUUUAAACAGAUUUAUUUCACAGUCUGGUAGGCCUUGCAGACUUAAAAACGUUUAGUUUUGUUAACUUAAAAGUAUAUAUUUUUUCUAAAUUUUCUGAAAGGAUUGCUAGAUAAUGUUCUAUACAUUCCAUUAAGAAACUAUUCAGACCCCUACGGUCAGUACCCAAUAAUGACCCAAGUGAAAACAGAAUUUUAGAAAUGUCUGUAAAUUUAUAAAAAAGAAAAACUAAAAUAUCAAAUUCACAUAAAUAUUCCAGACCCUUUGAAACAACACUUGAUAUUCAACUCAAAUUACUCCUAUUUCUCUUGAUCGUUGUUGAGGUGUUUUUGCACCUUAACUGAUAAAUUACAUUUAUUGGAGUUGAUUAAAAAAGGCACACACUUCUAUUCAUUUUAAUUCUGUUUCCUUAAAUUCAGAUUCGAACUUUAAUUCUGCCUCCUUGUUGCUACCUCAGUUCAAUUUAAUAGAAAUACAAGAAUAAAAAUAUACUUUACAAUUCAGUGCUGAAUAGCACAGACGUUUGUCUGGCACUUGCCUAAUACAGAUCAUUUUAUUUUAUGUAAAUAAAGCUGUCUAGAAUUGUUGUCAGAUCAGAGAGAUUUCGUUUACCCAUGAAUAAUAAUUGUGAAUAGUUAACAUAUUUAUCAUGUAUUUUAAAGAGUUUUAUUUGUUUUAUUUUAAGACGGAUAUUUAAAAAAGUUAUUUUUGUAGAUGAUUUUAUGUAGCAGACUUGCACAUUAGUACAAAGUUUACAGAUGUAACAUACUAAAAAACGGAUGUUUUGCAUGUAUUUAUAUAAUUAUACCUGAUAUAGAAUUAUACUAUUAUUUAACAUUAUUUUUAGAUAAUUGUUUAAACAAAUGUAAAUCUAAUCAGAGUUUGUUUAAGUAUAAAUGUAAGAAAAGGAAAAUUCACCUGAAUAUUAUAUUGUUAUGAAUGUAAAUGUUUUGUUAAUUUUAUUUUGUUUAAAUUUAAGUGCCAAAUUGGAUAGGACCUGUUGAUAGAUUCGCUGCUUAAAUCAUAAUAGUUUAGCUAAACUGUCUGGGCUGCAAAUCUUUGUUUUGCUCACAGAGGGGCGCAGUAGAGCAGGAAGUUUGAUAAAACAGGCACAAACUGUAUAAAAAUACAAUAUUACGUGUCCUCCAGUGUAAAGAUGACACAAUUAUUCAGUGCACUAGUGCAGAAUGUAGGAAGAUUGUGGAUCGCAUAAUAACACAGUCAAUAAUUCCAAUAUGUAUUCACUGUAAAAACUUUUUUUUAACUAGUGAUGAGUUGCUAAAAUAAAGUUGAAAUAAGUUAAGCUGAUUUAACUUUAUUUUAUAAGUUACAGUAAAUCCAAUUGAUUAUACUUAAACAUUUUAAGUCCAAAAACAAUUUUAAAGUGCAGUACAGUAUAUGUGAUAUCAUUCUAAGCAGCUUUGAGUUUUUUGUUUUCAUUUUUCAUUUGGAAACGUUUGUAAAAAACAUAAUGUUUUAAAGUAGGAUCAGUACAAGUUAAGCUUAAACAACAGUAGGUAUGGUGUCAGUAAGCACCGGAUAUAAUGCCAUACAUAAUAGUGUCAGUUUAACAUUUCUCUAAAUAAACACUUCACUACAGUGUUUCUAUAAACAUAUUUAAUGUAACAAAUAGCCAGAGAUGUACAAUUUAUAUAUAAACACUUUACAAGCUUUUCAAUUCUGCAAAUAUCUACAUUUCCCUGUUUUCUGCUGCAUUCACCUGCUGUCUUCUGAGCUUCUCCUCUGAAGUUUUGCAGGUGAUGAAACAUACCAGGAUAUUUUCCAAGACUUUUCACAUAUGGCAUCAAAUGAUCCAGAUAAACUCAAUCGCUAUACAUAAGUGAAGGUGAUAUGAUGGAUGUGCAUGUGCAUUUUUUUAUUGGGAUAGCUGCAGAAUAUUGCCUGUAAUGUAAAGUAUUAAAUGUAUUCAUGUGAAUGUCGUAUUUCCAUAAUGUAAUGUGGUAUUUUUAUUUGAAAUUUAGUAAUGGUCAGAGUUUUGUUAAAAAUAUAGUUGUUUUUUUCAUGAAAUCAGUAUCUUUGCCCAUAUAUUAUUAGUUUGGGUGACAGAUUAUAUUGCACUCAUAGUCUUAUUGUAAUGUGCUGUCUUUUUGUAAAUGACCAUAUGUUUAUUAUAGAGUUUAUUCUUUAGUUUAUAUAUAAAUGAACAGUAAAUAAUGGGAGUAUUUGUAUGCAUCUUUUCAAGAAGCACAGUAACCAUUCUUGAAUAAAUGUUCACAUGGAAUUGUGACAAUUUGUGUAAAAAUAGUUUUACAGACGACUUGCACAAAAUUCUUCUGUUUAGUAAAUGACAACCAUUUCUAGUUAUCAACUAUGGCUCAUGUGUAGCUGUGACCUACUCUGUUGGAAUGUAUACAAGUUUACAACAAACGCAUUUUAAAAUAGCAUGCAUUUGUGUCUGUUGCAUGUUUUUUUUUUUUUUUUUUUUUGCUAUUUGAUAUGUUCUUGAGCGUUUUUUGCAUGUGCAUCCCACUCCCACAUUGAUUUUUUAAUAUGUACAAAAAGUAUACAGUGAAACAUGAUCAUAUCACAUUGUAUGGGAUGUAAAUUGUGUAAAUUCUGUACAUACAUCAUCUUGGGCACGGUUGUGUAUUUUGUGGUACUUUUAGGUGAUGUAAGCGUUUUGUGCUUUUUAUUCAGUAUUGAGUAUUUUGUAAUCAUCCUGUAUAUGAUUUCUGCAAUUUUUAAGUUUAUUGUAUCUACUGCAGUUGUUUGACUGAAAUGAUCUCAAUAUAUAUUAUGAAUAGUU
Molecule: non-coding RNA, 6219 nt
Organism: Misgurnus anguillicaudatus (oriental weatherfish)
Lineage: Eukaryota; Metazoa; Chordata; Actinopteri; Cypriniformes; Cobitidae
Source: RefSeq, a predicted model, not a curated record